GUCUUAGUCUGUCAGGGCUACUAUCACAAAAUACCACAAAUUAUGUAGUGUAUAAACAAUAGAAAUUUCUCAUAGUUCUGGAGGUUUAAGUCAGAGAUCAGGGUGUCAGCAUGAUUGGCUGAGAGUCCUGGGUUGCAGACUUCUUGUAUCCUACAUGCAGGAAGGGGAAGAGGACUUCCCUGGGCCCUCUUUUAUAAGGGCACUAAUUCCACUCAAAGGCUCCACCUCUUAAUACCAUCACAAUGGGGAUUAGGAUUAGUAUUUUAGCAUUUGAAUGGGGGCACAAACAUUUAGACCAUAGCAUUAUAAUGAAAUAUUUAGUGGCCAUACAUACUAAAGGCUUAGAAAAAAGAAACUCAAUAACAUAUUUUAAUAAAUGUUGUCCAAAUCUAUUUGAGCAAGCAAUGCUUUGCCUUUUCUCGUCUUUCAUAUUAACAUCCUAUGGCUGAGGGUUCUGUACAAUACCUUUUGGGGAAAGCUUAUUUAGGUACUUACAAAGAUUGAAGUGUGAAUAUUUAGAUUGAGGUAUAAAAUACCACUAAAUAGUAGUUAUGAGGUUACUGACAGGAUAUAAAAGAAAUCAAAAAUGAGGAUUUGCUUACUUUGAGGGAAGUAUCAAAAUGAUGGUGGUCAUCAAGUAUAAAGUGAAUAAUUGUGGAGAAUAGAAAACAAUUGCUUUUCCUCUUCACUGAGUAGAGUAAAAGCAAAUUUUGAAGCAAGAAUUUAGUUGAAGAAAAGUGUAUUGUUUGUUAUAAAAUGUGUAAAUUGUAAAGAAGGUCACCAAAAAAAAAAAAAAAAAGAUAUAGAAUUUUAAUUCCUGGAGAACUUUAAAAACAAGACAGAAAAGUCUCUUAACUAACAAAUAUACAAUUCAGCCCACAUGCAUGGAAUGAGGCAGAAAAUAUGCUUGAACAAUAUGUUUUCCUCUUAAUCCAUCAAGUAGAACUUACUAUUCACCAUCCACUCUCUUAUGUUACAUUCAUUUACCUUAGACUUAAGUUCUAAUCUGAUUUUAGAGAAAGCGUCUACCCCAGAAGGGAGCAAGGCCAUCUGGUCACAAAGGAUUCCCCCCCCCCCCCCGCCCAAAUCUAACAAUCCUGUUGCAGCUAUAUCCUACAGCUCUUCUUCAUUCUUCAUUUACAUCAUUCUUUCUGCCAAAAUAAUUUUCCUUGAGCUUCUGGUGCUAAUUACCAAUGUCUGACCUCUUGAAUUCUAUUUUUUUUUAAAGAAUGCUCUGAUCAUAUCUACAUUAUCUGACUUAUGGCAUCUUCGCUCUGCAUAGUAGAUGCCUAUGAACUAGUUUGACAGUUGGUUCCAAGAUUUCUUGCUUUAUCAAAUCUGAAUUGCUCUCUAAGAUUUGUUUCCAAUUAACUUCUACCACCUCACACCACCACCCUACAUUCUCUCAUGUCUAAACGUAAAAUGUCUGUUCUAGCCCCAAACAAACAAAACAUGUUUUUCCUUUUUUUUAUGCAUUAUUAUAUGCCAGUAACUCAAGCUUAGGCUCUUGUCAUAUUCUAAUACUUAGAACAAUAGCUGGUGCAGAGUAGGCCUUCAAUAAAUAUUUAAGAAAGGAAUGAGUGACUGUAUGAGUAAACAAUUGAAUGCCAAACAUAAAGUUAAGGACUUUUAUAACAGAGGCUAUCCAUUGUGGCAACUUUUGGAUCAGAAUAAAGAGAUAUGGUCAAUAGUGUUAGGAGAACUGGAGAUACAAAUAGGAUGAAUCUACUCUUUUUAAUCUUUAUUUAUGAGAGAGAGAAAGCAUAUGAGAGUGGGAGGGAGGGGGUGCAGAGGGACAGGGGGAGAGAGAAUCCUAAGCAGACUCAACACUCAACAUGGAGCCAGACUUGGGGCUCUAUCUCAUGACCCUGACAUCAUGAGAGGGUUUCUUUCUUUUUUUUUUAUAAUAAUAUUUUUUUUAUUAUGUUAUGUUAGUCACCAUACAGUACAUCCCUGGUUUUUGAUGUAGAGUUUGAGAGGGUUUCUAACUAUGAUUUUAGUUUUAAACAUUUUUUCAAUUGAAUUUAUAGAAAAUGCUGUUCGUUGAAAAUCUCCUUUCAUUUAUCAACCAAAAAUGAAAUGUUAACGCCUUUAUUCCUCAUUUAUAUUUAAAACUCAGAUCUCUAGCUUCCAAUAAGGUGUUUACCAUGUGUGUUGAUCCAAAUACCUUCUAAUGAGUAAAUACACUUAUUUAUCAAGUAAGCAAAUAUUUUUGCUGUAGCUUCUGAGAAUCUUGCUAAUUUGUGUCAUGAAUCCUCCUGACAAGCUUCAGUUCUGUGCCCUGCUAAAGUAUAAUUAACUGCAAAAUCUCUCCAAAAUACCAGUCAAUACUGGAUAGCUCUUCCCGGCAGCACCCUUUGAGAAUUCGUUCUAAAAGGAAAUUCAGGCCAAGGUCAAACUGGUUGGUCUUCUAAAAUCAGCUUUUACCUUGGGCUCUUCAUUCAGAAGAGAUUUAGAGUGACUUCUCCUUCAUAAAUUCAUUCAUUUAUUGUCCUUGCAUUUUUAUGGUCAACAUCAGAUGGCAAUAUAAAAAGGGUCAAAGACAUUUUAGAAAUUGAACGAUGAUUUUCAAAUAGUAAAAGCUAAUACACAUGAGCAGUUACCACAUUCCAGGUAUUAACUUUAUUUUAAAAGGUAGGUACUGUUAUCAUUGUCAUUUUAUGAAUGAAGAACCCAAGCUAAAAUGUCAAGUUACACAGUUGGUCAGUAGCAGAGCUGGAGUUCUAACCCACAUAAUCUGAGGCAGAAUCCACAUCCCUAACUUCUUCUACAUCAUGGAGAUGAAUAAUUAUGAACAAUUAUUUAAAUGGGCUCAAAAGAACUAUGUCAAGUUCUUUGGAAAUUAAAGAAAUUUAGUAAUGUUUUACAGUAAGUCUCCAGUUCAAGCCUCUUGGUUUUGGUAAAUAUGUCAUAUCAGGAUAAAAUAUUAAUGUAAACUGUGGGAAAAAACUGGAUAAAAAAUUGAACACACAUCAAGUUUUGUUGUGUUGUUCCUAGCAACUACUAGUAUUUAUAAUCACCACCACAACCAAAUGUAGAAUAUACCCAUAAUGCCACAGUUGCUUUAUGACCCCUUCCAGUCAAUAUUCACCUCUCAUAAGCAACCAUUGCUUUGAUUUCUAGUACUAUCAGAUUAGUUUAAUCUAUUCUUGAGUUUCAUAUAAAAAUAUAUCAUAUAGUAUAUAUUGUCUUGUGUCCGGCUUCUUUCCCUAACAAAGUUUUUUUGAGUUUCACCUAUGAUUCUUGUGUGUUAGUAUGUCUUCCUUUUUUCUUCUUUUUUUUCUUCUCUUUUUUCUUUUUCCCUUUCUUUUCAUCGCUGAGUAGUAUUCUAUUACAUGAAUAUACUGCAUUCUGUUUUCCUAGGUCUUGAGUGUGGAUACACAAAUGGGGCCAAUCAUACGUCCUCACUCCGGACAUAAAGUUAACACAAAGAUACUGCCAAAAUAAAGAGGUUAUUCACAGUGGCAAGACUGAGAGGGUCCACGGGCAGCAAGAAUCCAGUGGUAAUGACAGUGGUCAGAAUGGGAUCCUAAACACAUAAUUUCAGUUGUGUGAUCUAAACUACAGUUCUUGUUAAUAAGUUUUCAUUAGUCCCGGUUCAUUUUUCUGGACAACUCCAGGCUUCCAUGAAUUCUCAGAGAUCCUUGGGAGCCUUCCAAUUCAGGUUCUGCUUAAUUAUCAGGACUGCUUUCUAUCGCUUGCCACCAAGAAUCUUUAUUGGCCAACUCAUUUCCUUCAGUACUGUAAGAUUACGUAUCCAACACCUCAUUUUAUACACCGUCUGAGGUAACAAGUUUAAAAGCUCUGAUCAUAGCAAUAGCAGUAGUUGCUGACAAAGUGGUUAAAUUUCCUUGUCAUUGAAUCAAUGAUUGCUUUUAAUUCUGAAAGAUAUUAAAAUCCAGGAUCAUUAAUUUUCUUAUGUAUUUAUUUACUCAUUCAUUCAUUCAUUCAUCAAAAAAACAAAUAAACACAAAAUGAUGAUAUAGAAAAAUGUUCAUUGCAUGUUUGGGGAUAAAUGCUAAUAUACAUAUGAUCACAUUAUGUAAAACACAUGCAGGCACAUUUUUGUGCAUAUAUUGAGAUGCUGCUUUCCAAAAUUGAAAUGAUAUUCGUAUAGGAUAGAGAUAAUUUUUCAAAAUCAUGUUAUUAGGGUUUUAUUUUCUGUUUUUAUAAUAAAUAUAAAUUGCUUUAAAAUUGGAAAAAUAGAUUUUAUAAAACUAAGUCAAUGCCAUGAUCUUAUUACAAUUUUGUUCUCUUUUUUUUUUAUUUAUUUUUAUUUUAAUGAUUUUUUAUUAUAUUAUGUUAGUCACCAUACAGUACAUCCUCGGUUUCCGAUGUAAGGCUCGAUGAUUCAUUAGUUGUGUAUAACACCCAGUGCACCAUGCAAUACGUGCCCUCCUUACUACCCAUCACCGGUCUAUCCCAUUCCCCCACCCCCUCCCCUCUGAAGUCCUCAGUAUGUUUCUCAUAGUCCAUAGUCUCUCAUGUUUCAUUCCCCCAUCUGAUUACCCCCCUUUCUUUAUCCCUUUCCUCCCCUACCGAUCAUCCUAGUUCUUAUGUUCCAUAGAAAGAGAAAUCAUAUGAUAGUUGUCUUUCUCUGCUUGACUUAUUUCACUUAGCAUUAUCUCCUCCAGUGCCGUCCAUGUUGUAGCAAAUGUUGAGAACUCGUUCUUUCUGAUAGCUAAUAUUCCAUUGUAUAUAUGGACCACAACUUCUUAAUCCAGUCAUCUGUUGAAGGGCAUCUCAGCUCCUUCCACGAUUUAGCUAUUGUGGACAUUGCUGCUAUGAACAUUGGGGUGCAUAUAGCCCUUCUCUUCACUACGUCUGUAUCUUUGGGGUAAAUACCCAGUAGUGCAAUGGCUGGAUCAUAGGGUAGCUCAAUUUUUAAAUUUUAAGGGACCUCCACACUGUUUUCCAGAGUCGCUGUACCAACUUGCAUUCCCACCAACAAUGUAGGAGGGAUCCCCUUUCUCCACAUCCUCUCCAACAAUUGUUUCUGGCCUUGUCUAUUUUUGCC
Ursus thibetanus thibetanus is the source of this 5017-nucleotide long non-coding RNA. The record is from Ensembl. Lineage: Eukaryota; Metazoa; Chordata; Mammalia; Carnivora; Ursidae.